AGUUCUACGGAGGUGUUGUACGUCUAGUUCUACGGAGGUGUUGUACGUCUAGUUCUACGGAGGUGUUGUACGUCUAGAUCUACGGAGGUGUUGUACGUCUAGUUCUACGGAGGUGUUGUACGUCUAGUUCUACGGAGGUGUUGUACGUCUAGUUCUACGGAGGUGUUGUACGUCUAGUUCUACGGAGGUGUUGUACGUCUAGUUCUACGGAGGUGUUGUACGUCUAGUUCUACGGAGGUGUUGUACGUCUAGUUCUACGGAGGUGUUGUACGUCUAGUUCUACGGAGGUGUUGUACGUCUAGUUCUACGGAGGUGUUGUACGUCUAGUUCUACGGAGGUGUUGUACGUCUAGUUCUACGGAGGUGUUGUACGUCUAGUUCUACGGAGGUGUUGUACGUCUAGUUCUACGGAGGUGUUGUACGUCUAGUUCUACGGAGGUGUUGUACGUCUAGUUCUACGGAGGUGUUGUACGUCUAGUUCUACGGAGGUGUUGUACGUCUAGUUCUACGGAGGUGUUGUACGUCUAGUUCUACGGAGGUGUUGUACGUCUAGUUCUACGGAGGUGUUGUACGUCUAGUUCUACGGAGGUGUUGUACGUCUAGUUCUACGGAGGUGUUCUACAUCUAGAUCUAGAGGGAAAAGGAGAGCGUGUGGUGGGC
Molecule: long non-coding RNA, 659 nt
Organism: Oncorhynchus keta (chum salmon)
Lineage: Eukaryota; Metazoa; Chordata; Actinopteri; Salmoniformes; Salmonidae
Exons: 3
Source: RefSeq, a predicted model, not a curated record